This 253-nucleotide ribosomal RNA is filed under the name uncultured bacterium. RNAcentral's name for it is "partial 16S ribosomal RNA". It matches the Rfam family "Bacterial small subunit ribosomal RNA", at positions 524 to 776 of the family's 1533-position model. The record is from RNAcentral.
UACGGAGGGUGCAAGCGUUAUCCGGAUUCACUGGGUUUAAAGGGUGCGUAGGAGGGCAGGUAAGUCAGUGGUGAAAUCCCCGAGCUUAACUUGGGAACUGCCGUUGAUACUAUCUGUCUUGAAUAUCGUGGAGGUGAGCGGAAUAUGUCAUGUAGCGGUGAAAUGCUUAGAGAUGACAUAGAACACCUAUUGCGAAGGCAGCUUACUACGCCUAUAUUGACGCUGAGGCACGAAAGCGUGGGGAUCAAACAGG